UCGAAGUGAAGACGCGGUCGAGUUAGCGCGACGCACUGUUGGGAAAUUUAGAGGAAGAGUUGAGCGUCUUAAUUUUAACGAAUCUAAAACGUUUCCAGACACAAACAAGACUUGGACACGAUGGAAAACCCUACAAGUGUUCCAGAGCUGAUGCAGUUUGUGCAAACGACGCUUCAGAACAUGCAAGAGAAAUUCCAAAAUGUCGAAGAUUCGAUCGUGAAAAGAAUGACUGAAACUGGAAAGAGACUAGACGAGUUAGAGAAAGGACUGACGGAUCUGAUGGACCAUUCUGGUAUGGGAGAACCUUAUGAAGAAGACUUGGAAUCCGACAAGGAUUUCUCUGAUACCGACAAGGGGAGAUGAUAGAAAUUUGUGCGUUGUCCGUUGCUAGAGACAUUAGUAAUGUAAACAUGGCGUGGAUUUGAACUUUGAGUUUAUUUUGAGUGAGUCCUGUGAGAUAUUUAUGGUGAAGAAGUUUUUUUUUUAUAUUUAAUUUGUCUCUGUUUCAAGGUUUUGUAGCGAAGUUUAAACUUGCCUCACUUCAAACAAAUCACCAACGUUGAAAAUUAUGUUACGCUUUAGCUUACAUGUAACAUGAGAGCUUUUGUCUGUCUGUACUCAUGGAUUAUGGAUUCAGUAAGCUAUAACUAUUGCUAUGCCUUUAGUCGACUUUUGUUAGUUUUUGUUUACAUCAGAGGAAAACGUCUUGUCACUGGAUGAAAGUACCAAAGAGAGUUUCAAUAUAUUAUUGUAAGUAGAUUUUUAUGCUGCAGAUAUUUGUGUUGUUUGGAGCUCAAAAAAUAAAUGCGCAAGUUGCCAGAUUUUUCCUUA
Molecule: long non-coding RNA, 831 nt
Organism: Orbicella faveolata
Lineage: Eukaryota; Metazoa; Cnidaria; Anthozoa; Scleractinia; Merulinidae
Source: RefSeq, a predicted model, not a curated record